AUGCCAAUGGGCUCAGCUGGUUACGUUGAUCUGUCAAGGCAUGUUGUUUCUAUAGAACUGGGACAUAACCUGCAAUUUGUCAUACAAGCUUACUCACAGUCUGGUGCCAUUGCUAGGCAAAGCCGUCUCACGUUUAGGACCAAAUAUUGCAACAUAAGUCAAGGUAUAUGUGAGAUUGGUGACUCUAAGGUGGAGAUUACUGUUGCUUGGUCCCAGCUUAUCAAGAACAAGAUGGAAAUCCUCUAA
This 246-nucleotide ribosomal RNA is filed under the name Triticum aestivum (bread wheat). RNAcentral describes it as "partial small subunit ribosomal RNA". Lineage: Eukaryota; Viridiplantae; Streptophyta; Magnoliopsida; Poales; Poaceae. The record is from RNAcentral.